This 256-nucleotide long non-coding RNA is filed under the name Phoenix dactylifera (date palm). RNAcentral's name for it is "long non-coding RNA (PDAC_LNC007739)". The record is from RNAcentral. Lineage: Eukaryota; Viridiplantae; Streptophyta; Magnoliopsida; Arecales; Arecaceae.
CGGCGGAUAACACAUAUAAAAAAUAUAUUAAAAAUAGGUUAUAACCUCUUUUUUGGUGGGGGUUUGUAAAAGUUUUUAUGCUACCCCUUUUGAGAGGUUUCAAAACACCACAGCCCUACUUGUGCCCUCCGCAUUUCUUCCCCUCUCUUCCUGUUUUUCUUUUUUUUCCCCUUCUUUUUUUGGGUCCCGAAUAUUAAUUUUAUUUAUGAUAGCCUCGAUUUGCCCAAUCCUAGUGUAGAAGAUUGAACAGGAGUGG